This is an RNA transcript of Myotis davidii, 5308 nucleotides long. It is a transcript of the gene named aminoadipate-semialdehyde dehydrogenase, with no coding region annotated. The transcript is spliced from 12 exons. The record is from RefSeq and is a predicted model, not a curated record. Lineage: Eukaryota; Metazoa; Chordata; Mammalia; Chiroptera; Vespertilionidae.
UCCCCGAGGGCCGGAGGCUUUUCGGUCUCCGCGGGCGCGCAGUGGGCUGUCGCUAAGGCUUUGGGGUGACUGCUUUUUCGCUGCGGGUGGCUGGGUGUCUUGCGUGGGCUGCCGGGGGAAGCCUCGGGCGGGCUCCGCCCUCCCGCCCAGCCCCCGAGGCCUUCGGAGUGGCGGUGGAGUUGGCACGGACUGCUGUGCAGGAGGCAGGUCCCACAUCUGGGGCUGGCUGUGCGCAGGUCGGCUCAGCCUCGGGGCGAGCCAGGCCUCCGAUGUGAGUCAGUGGUGUCUGGUGGGCCGGUGUCGUGCCCCGUGUGAUCCCCCUGAGUCAACCAGCCUCGGCCCCUUCAUUGGAAUAAGCCUGGCCCGCCUACCUGCGAUCUUGGUUUCAAAGAGCAGAUGAAAAAGUGCUUUGGAAGCUAUAAAGUGCAUCGUUAUUAGACGAAGUUAGCAAUGCUCCCUAAAACUCUCUGGACCUGUCACACUUCUGCUACUAGUAACGUUAGAUAAACUGCAGUGAAAUGACUCUUCAGGAAUUGGUGCACCAGGCUGCCUCCAUUUAUUCCAAUAAAAUAGCUGUAUGUUUUGAUGAAUGUAACGAUCAGCCUCCAGUUUAUUACACCUACAAGAACCUGGUCAGUGCUGCUUCGGAAUUAUCAAAUUUUCUGCUAUUACACUGCGACUUUCAAGGAAUUCGGGAAAUUGGUCUCUACUGCCAUCCUGGGAUAAACGUACCCUCUUGGAUUUUAGGAAUUCUCCAAGUCCCUGCUGCUUAUGCUCCCAUUGAUCCAGAUUCACCACCAGCAUUAUCAACUCAUUUUAUGAAAAAAUGUAAUCUACAGUACAUUCUUGUUGAAAAACAGCAAAUUAAUAAAUUCAAAUCUUCCUUUGAAAAAUUAUUGAACUAUGAUACACUUACAGUAGAACAUAAUGACUUAGUACUCUUCAGACUUCAUUGGAAAAAUGUUGAGGUGAGCUUGAUGCUAAAUGAUAGAAAAGAGAAAUACGAAAAAGAAAAAGUGGUAAACAGCACCAGUUCCGAGAAAAGCAAUGAAGAAAAGCCAGAAGAGCAUGUGGAUGUGAGGCUAAAACAUUGUUUAGCCUAUGUUCUCCAUACCUCAGGCACCACGGGGACACCCAAGAUUGUCAGAGUCCCUCAUGCGUGCAUAGUGCCGAACAUCCAACAUUUCCGGGUACUUUUCGAGAUCACACAAGAAGAUGUUUUAUUUCUAGCUUCACCUCUGACCUUUGAUCCCUCAGUUGUGGAAAUAUUUGUUGCUCUAUCAAGUGGUGCCUCCCUGCUUAUUGUACCAACUUCUGUCAAAGUGCUCCCAUCGAAAUUAUCUGCUGUUCUCUUUUCCCAUCACAGAGUGACUAUUUUGCAGGCAACACCGACAUUGCUUAGAAGAUUUGGAUCUCAGCUUAUCAAGUCAACUGUUUUAUCAGCCAGUACUUCUCUUCGAGUACUAGCCCUUGGUGGUGAAGCAUUUCCGUCACUGACUGUUCUCAAAGGCUGGAGAGAAGUAGGCAAUAGAACACAAAUAUUUAAUGUUUAUGGUAUCACAGAGGUAUCAAGUUGGGCGACUUUUUACAGGAUUCCAGAGGAGAUUCUUAACUCUACUUUGAAAUGUGAAUUGCCUGUACAACUGGGAUUUCCACUGCUUGGAACAGUAGUUGAAGUCAGAGAUACUAGUGGUUUCAGAAUUGAAGAAGGCAAUGGCCAAGUAUUUUUAGGUGGCAGAAACAGAGUAUGUUUUCUUGAUGGUGAAGUGACAGUACCACUUGGCACAAUGCGAGCCACAGGCGACUUUGUAACUGUGAAAGAUGGAGAGUUAUUCUUCUUGGGACGAAAGGACAGUCAGAUCAAACGUCAUGGCAAACGUCUUAACAUUGAACUUGUGCAACAGGUUGCUGAAGGACUUCAACAAGUGGAGUCAUGUGCAGUUAUAUGGUAUAAUCAGGAGAAAUUAAUUCUGUUCAUGGUGUCAAAAAAUGAGUUAGUAAAGAAUUACAUCUUUAAAGAACUAGAGACACAUCUUCCAAGCCAUGCAAUCCCGGAUGAGCUGGUGCUGAUUGACUCUCUACCAUUCACACCUCAUGGCAAAAUUGAUGUUUCUGAGUUAAACAAGAUCUAUUUAAACUACAUAAACUUGAAGUCUGAGCAUAAGCUCAAAGGAAAAGAGGAACUUUGGGGAAAAUUACAGCAUUUGUGGAAGUCUAUUCUGAGUCUCUCAGAAGAUUCUUUGAAGGUUCCUGAUGAGUCACUCUUCUUAAAUAGUGGUGGAGAUUCCUUGAAGUCCAUACGGCUCCUCAAUGAGAUUGAAAAACUUGUUGGCACAUCAGUACCUGGGCUUCUGGAAAUUAUCCUUAGCAAUUCCAUUUUAGAGAUUUACAAUCACAUCCUUCAAACAGUAUUUCCAGAUGAAGAUCUGACAUUUCGUGAGAAUUAUGCCACUAAAAGAAAAUUCAGCAACGUUAAUCAAGAGGAAACCACUGGAAAAUCUUUACAUCAGAAGUCAGACAUGCCUUUAAAUUUAGACAAUGGGAUAAAUGCUUUUAUGGCACUGAGCAGAGGGAGUCAGAUUUUGUCUGUGAAUGCUACUAAGUUUUUAACUAAGUUAAAACAUUGCCCUGCAGCCUAUUCUUCUGAUUUAAUUUCACAGACUGCUGUUAAAAAAGUGAAAAGCUUAAAUCCUCCAGCUCUUCUUGGGCAGUCAGAAGAUUCAACAUGUGUUGAAAAAGUUUAUGAAGAUGGAACAUCUGUGAUAACGGCUGAGACAAUGGAAUUACGAGUCAGGUGGAGGGCAGACACAGGCAAAUGUGUAGAUGCUUCACCUCUCGUCGUAAUACCAGCUGUCGAUAAGUCAUCUGCAACUGUGUACAUUGGCUCCCAUUCUCAUAGAAUGAUGGCAGUUGACCUUUAUUCUGGGAAGGUGAAAUGGGAACAGCUUUUGGGAGAUCGAAUUGAAUCCUCAGCAUGUGUGUCUAAGUGCGGAAACUUUAUUGUAGUAGGUAAGUUGGGCAAGUUUCUGAAUUUGAGGUUUAUAGAGUUAAAUUUAAUUACCUUAUGAUAAUACUAGUUCGGACUAACAGAUAAUAAAAAAACUUGUAUAUGGUGGAUUUAGUUGUUGUUGAAGAAGAAUACUUCAGCAUGUGCUGAUUCUCACAGUGUGGGCCAUGGGAUCAGUCCCUGGAUUUGAACCGAGCUGGAAAGCUGUUACCAGCUCUGUGACCUUCGACAAGUUGCUGAGCCUCUUAGAACUUCAGUUUUCUCUUGAGUUCAUGGGCAUAAUAAAUAAAACAUGUUGCUGUGUCACACAUCAUCUCAAAACUUAAUGGUUUAGAGCAACAAAUAUUUAUUGAAUUUCACAGUUUUUGUGGGUCGGGAAUGUAGGAGCAGCUUAGCUGGAAAUUCCAGCUCAGAGUCUCAUACGGCUGCAGCCAUCUGAAGGCUUGACUUGGACUGGAAAAUCUGCUCACUCACAUUGCUGCUGGCGGGAAGCUGUAGUUCUUUGUUGGAUCUUGGCAGGAAGCUUUUAGUUUCUUGACACAUGGUCCUUUCCAUAGGCUGCUUGACUACCCCAUAACCUGGCAGCUAACUUCCCUCAGAGUGAGUGAUCCAAAUGAGAGAAUGAGGAGGAAUGUUAUGACUUAGUCUCCAAAGUUGCAUAUCAUCACUUUUGCUUUAUUCUGUUCGUUAGAAGUACAUCAUUAGUCUGGUCCACCCUCAGGGGUGUUGGGGAGGGUGGGAGAUUAAGCUCUUAAAGGAAGAGUAUCAAAUAAUUUGUGGACAAAUUUUAAAACUACCACAAUCAUCUUGGAGCUUUUGAUAAGAUUAAAUGACAUAAUUGCUUAUGAAUCUCUUAGUACAUGGGUAGGCACAGACUAAGUGCUCAUUAAGUGUUACUGCUACCCAGUUUCAUUAAAGUAUGGGUGACUUCUACUCUACUAGGAAUAUGAGGGUCUAAGUGUAAUGCCUCCUUUUUAUUCCCCAAACUAUGUUAGGUUUCACUUUAUGUAGUUAUGGAAUCUGUUCAUCAAAACUUUUCAGACUAAGUGCUUAGAAAUAUAUUUCCCCUACUUGUGCUCUCCUGUCUGGGAUCUACUUGAAUCUGCGUUUCAUCCUUUCCUUUUGAACAUCUACUUUUUGAAAAUUAUGCUACAGGAAAUGUUGAGUUACACAUGUGAAUCAUGGGUAAUCCCCAUGCAUGUAAGUCAGCUCGUUGAAGUUACUGUUUGCAUCCCAAGUGUCUUGACUCAAAGCUUAUGGCACAUGGUGGUCACUUAGUACUUUAAACAUUUUUAAAAUUAAUAUAUAAUUCAUAUACAGUAAAACUCACCCUUUUAAUAUAUAGUUCUGGGUUUUGACAAAUGCAUACCUUCAUGUAAUCAUUACCACCACCAAGAGCUCAUUACUCCAAAAAAUUCUGUGUCACUUGUUAGUCCUCUUUCCUGCUACCCCUAACCCCCAGGUAAUUACUGAUUUGUUUUCUGUCCCUCUGGUUUUGCUUUUUCCAGAAAGUCAUAUAAAUGAAAUCUUACAAUAUGUAACUUUUGAGUCUGACUUCUCUUACUGAGCACAAUGUGUUGGAGAUUCAUCCAUAUUACCUAAAAUAAUAAAAGCAUAAUAUGUUAAUUAGACCAGAUGAGGCAGAGGCAGCCACUGCAGCUGUGGGGGCCAAGCCCUUUGCACAAAUUUUGUGCAUCAGGCCUUUAGUUGUAUGUAUAAGUAGUUUCCUGUUUGUUGACUAUUUUAUUGUAUGGAUGUACCACAGUUUGUUUAUCCAUUCACAUUUGGGUUAUUUCCAGUUUUUAGUAAUUAUGAGUAAUUACAAGAAACAUUUGUGAACAAGAUUUUGUAUGAAUAUAAGUUUUUGUUUCACUUAGGUCAGUACCUAGGAGGGGGAGGUUGUAUGGUAAAUGUAGGUUUUAAUUUAUAAGAAACGACCAAAUUAUUUUCCAAAGUGAUUGAACCACUUUGCCUUCUUACCAUCAAUGUAUGAGAAAUCCAGUUGCUCCACAUCCUUGUCAGCACUUGGUAUUGUCAGUUUAAUAAGAUUUUUUAAAAACGUUAUAGUCAUCCUGUUAGGUAUGCGAUGAUACCUCAUUGUGGUUUUAUUUUCAUUUCUCUGAUGAUAGUGAUGUGACCACCUUCUCAUAUACCUGUUAGGCAUUUCUAUGUAUUCUUUUGUGAAGUCUGUUCAGGUUCUUAGCCCAUUUUUUAUUUGGGUUGUUUGCUUAUUGUUCAUAUAUCGUUUUCCUAAUUUCAUUGAAUUAUCUGUAUUUUCUUUUUGUAGCUCUCUGAAUUGUU